GACGAACGCUGGCGGCGUGCCUAAUACAUGCAAGUCGAACGCAGUGGGGACGGGUGAGUAACACGUGGGUAACCUCCCAUCAGAGGGGAUAAAACUUGGCAACAGGUGCUAAAACGAUACUGAUGGAUGGAACCGCGGUGCAUUAGCUAGGUGGUGAGGUAACGGCCCACCAAGGCCACGAUGCAUAGCCGACCUGAGAGGGUGGUCGGCCAACGUGGGACUGAGAAACGGCCCAGACUCCUACGGAAGGCAGCAGUAGGGAAUCUUCGGCAAUGGACGAAAGUCUGACCGAGCAACGCCGCGUGAGUGAAGAAGGUUUUCGGAUCGUAAAACUCUGUUGUUAGAGAAGCGUUAUCUAACCAGAAAGCCACGGCUAACUACGUGCCAGCCGCCGCGGUAAUUC
Molecule: ribosomal RNA, 403 nt
Filed under: uncultured bacterium
Lineage: Bacteria
Description: partial 16S ribosomal RNA
Rfam family: Bacterial small subunit ribosomal RNA
Source: RNAcentral